CCCUUAGAUGUUCUGGGCCGCACGCGCGCUACACUGAUGCAUUCAACGAGUUCCUACCUUGGCCGAGAGGCCUGGGCAAUCUUUUGAACUUGCAUCGUGAUAGGGAUAGAUUAUUGCAAUUAUUAAUCUUGAACGAGGAAUUCCUAGUAAACGCAGACCAUCAAUCUGCAUUGAUUACGUCCCUGCCCUUUGUACACACCGCCCGUCGCACCUACCGAUUGAAUGGUCCGGUGAAGCCUCGGGAUUGUGGUUAGUUUCCUUCAUUGGAAGUUAGCCGCGAGAACUUGUCUAAACCUUAUCAUUUAGAGGAAGGUGAAGUCGUAACA
This 326-nucleotide ribosomal RNA is filed under the name uncultured eukaryote. Its description in RNAcentral is "partial 18S ribosomal RNA". It matches the Rfam family "Eukaryotic small subunit ribosomal RNA", at positions 1470 to 1796 of the family's 1831-position model. The record is from RNAcentral.